UGGGGAAUAUUGGACAAUGGGGGGAACCCUGAUCCAGCCAUGCCGAGUGUGUGAAGAAGGCCUUAUGGUUGUAAAGCACUUUAAGCGAGGAGGAGGGUACUGGUAUUAAUACUACCAGGUACUGGACGUUACUCGCAGAAUAAGCACCGGCUAACUCUGUGCCAGCAGCCGCGGUAAUACAGAGGGUGCGAGCGUUAAUCGGAUUUACUGGGCGUAAAGCGUGCGUAGGCGGCUAAUUGAGUCGGAUGUGAAAUCCCCGAGCUUAACUUGGGAAUUGCAUUCGAUACUGGUUAGCUAGAGUGUGGGAGAGGAUGGUAGAAUUCCAGGUGUAGCGGUGAAAUGCGUAGAGAUCUGGAGGAAUACCGAUGGCGAAGGCAGCCAUCUGGCCUAACACUGACGCUGAGGUACGAAAGCAUGGGGAGCAAACAGG
Molecule: ribosomal RNA, 430 nt
Filed under: Pseudomonadota bacterium
Lineage: Bacteria; Pseudomonadati; Pseudomonadota
Description: Proteobacteria bacterium partial 16S ribosomal RNA
Rfam family: Bacterial small subunit ribosomal RNA
Source: RNAcentral